This 75-nucleotide small RNA is filed under the name Xanthomonas campestris. RNAcentral's name for it is "sX9 sRNA". It matches the Rfam family "Xanthomonas sRNA sX9". RNAcentral also lists the same sequence under 2 other names. Lineage: Bacteria; Pseudomonadati; Pseudomonadota; Gammaproteobacteria; Lysobacterales; Lysobacteraceae. The record is from RNAcentral.
AUGUACCCACGUACACUCCGGUUCCUCCGCGCCGUCCGCACUCACCUGACGACUGCUCGCUACGGUUUGUUAGCC